RNAcentral lists this long non-coding RNA (1274 nucleotides) under Arabidopsis lyrata. Its description in RNAcentral is "long non-coding RNA (ALYR_LNC001007)". The record is from RNAcentral. Lineage: Eukaryota; Viridiplantae; Streptophyta; Magnoliopsida; Brassicales; Brassicaceae.
GCUCAUGUCCUUCAUUUUAUGUUAUGACAAAAAAGAUUUUAAGAAAAAAAAAUAAAAGGUAAAUUUGAACAAAUAUUCCGACUCAUGCCCUUCAUUUUAUGUUAUAUCAUUUCUUUUUUUUUUGGUAAUCAAUUGAAAAAGAAGAACAAAUAACAUACAUAAUCAGAAUCAAAUCUAUAGAGAUAUAAUCUGUAUCUAGGCUUUAUCAUCAACGGAGCUUCUCUCUGGGAACCCUUAACAUUGCCAGAGAGUAACUAUCUGUUUGAACGCGCUCGCGACAGCCUUGAUAACAAUGCUGAGUUUCCCUUAUCCCGAGGACUGGCUAUCCAACAGUUUGCUACCGGGCUCUACCGGAUGACAUCAAUGCGUGUACACGACAAUAAUGAAUACAUUCCUCUCUAUAUUGGUGUGUAUGGAUCUGGUCGUACAACCCUCUCAUUCUUUGUGGUAAAUAUACUGAAACAUUCGAAACAUUCUCUCUUAAUUUUUAGCAUAAAUGCAAUUGACUCUCUUUUUCUCUUUCUCCUUCUUAGACGGCGAUUAUAAGGUUUACGACUGGAGCGGUGAUAUUUUUGUUUGCACAUUUCUCAAUUGCCUUCUAAAAACUAUUUAUUUUUGAUUUUCUUUUAAUCUGAAAACCAAAAAAAAUACAUCUAUACUAUUAAUCCUUUUAAGAGCCAUUUAGAAAAACCUAUUCCGGCUCAUGCCCUUCAUUUUAUGUUACGACAAAAUAGAUUGUAAGAAAAAAAAAAAAGAUAAAUUUGAACAAAUAUUCCAACUCAUGCGCUUCAUUUUAUGUUAUAUCAUUUCUUUUUUUUUGGUAAUCAUUUGAGAAAGAAGAACAAAUAACAUACAUAACCAGAAUCAAAUCUACAAAGUAAACAAAAUAUAUAACCUUUCUCUUUUUGUUGUAAUCCACCAAAAAAAAAGAACAAAUUAUGUACGCAAUCAGAAUCUAUAUAAACAAGAAUUAAUCUAAAAACCCAUCGAUAUUUCAUAAAUAAACAAUUUGACUUCUCAUUUUUUUGAGAAAGAAAAGCUGGAAUCUAAAAUAUAAAAUAGAAAAUCUAAACGUAAUCAGCCAGGAUUUAUCUAAGGAGUAAGAAUUCAAGAAAUAAGAUUAAGAAUUUACCAUGUUCUUCGUGGAGGUUCUGCAGAUUUUAGACAACUUUUCUCUUCAAAAGUUGUGUGUUUGUAGCCGAGAAAUAUUCAGAAAAACACUUAGUCUAUGCACAAGUCCAAAGUGAUAAGGACGAUCAUCCACCAUUGUUGAC